Molecule: transfer RNA, 98 nt
Organism: Candida albicans SC5314
Lineage: Eukaryota; Fungi; Ascomycota; Pichiomycetes; Serinales; Debaryomycetaceae
Rfam family: tRNA
About the family: Transfer RNA (tRNA) molecules are approximately 80 nucleotides in length.
Source: Rfam
GCUCUUAUGGUCUAGUGGUUAAGACAGUUGAUUGCAAUAUUUUAUCUAAAAUAUCUGUAAUUAUCAAUUGGUCCCUGGUUCGAAUCCGGGUGAGAGCU